RNAcentral lists this long non-coding RNA (1376 nucleotides) under Capra hircus (goat). RNAcentral describes it as "lncRNA (ENSCHIG00010017102.1)". Lineage: Eukaryota; Metazoa; Chordata; Mammalia; Artiodactyla; Bovidae. The record is from RNAcentral.
UGUCCAGGGGAUAUUCCCAACCCAGGGAUCGAACCCAGGUCUCCCACAUAGCAGGCGGAUUCUUUACCAGUUGAGCCACAAGGGAAGCUCAGUAGUAAUUUAGUAGUAAAGGGGCAUUUUUUUGUCUACAACUAACUCUCAAAUAGUUCAGAAGAAAAAAAAAUUAGAUGAGGAGAUGAGAAAAUGCUAAUGUAGCUAAGCUAGAAAUUUAAGUAAAAGAUAAAUGGACAUCUUUGUCCUAUUUUUUAAUCUUUUCUGUNNNCUUGAAAUUUUAUUAAAAUAAAAUGCUACCCCAUCAAAAAAGACAAUUUAAAGACAAAGCGAACAUAAUGAUAAUCCCUAGUCCACUUGACUCUAAAUCACCAAGCAUGCUUUUUCAUUCAUUCAUUUAUUCAGCCAACAUGGAUCAAAGGCUUAUUCUGUACCAGGCUCUCCAUUAAAAACACUUGGGAUGUAUCAGAGAUCCAGCACUUUUCUGCCUGCACACUGGUCACAGUAGAGUUUGGUUAACAUAAAAUGCAGAUUCGGGGGGCUCAAGACUGAGUACAUUAGAUCUCUGAAGCAGGGACAAGGGAUCCAUAAUGUAUAAAAUUUCCUGCAAUGUUGCUUAUAUACAUUAAUGCAGAGCUGUUUUUCAAAAUAUGGACUUUGAUCCAUAGUGGUUUAUAAUAGCAAUUUAGUGAGCAAAGAUUUUUUUUUACAUUAAAAUAAUAGAAAAAGAGAAAACAGAAAAGAAAAUAAGAAUGCUGACACAUGGUAAGAGUCACUAUUAUUUUAUAAAACUUUGGUUUCCAUGCCCUUGAGUCACUAAGUAAACUAGGUUUCAUGUAGAAAACCACUGCUAGAAAAUAUGAUAUGUAAAAUAUAUCAUUUCUUUUUUCCUCUCUAGCCCCUGUACCCAACAGUUCUCCCUUAGUCCAGAUUGAGGGCUAUUGAGAGCCUGGGGCACAUUCACAGCCUUGAGAAGCAACAGGCCGUUCCAGGAAUUUGACUCACUGUCUGUAUCCCUGGUGUGACAGCCCUUCCUUUUCCUCCUGCGUAGGGCCCAGAGCCGCACUGUCCCACAGAUGGCAAUGUCUCCAGCACGUCACCUCACCUCUUUUGAAGGACGCGACAGAGCACGGCACGCUGUCUAUCCUGGCACUUGUUGGCAGAGAUAGAGCCACCACAAGAAAGGAACUUCUGAGACGGAAAACUUCCGCCUCCCUGGAUGCUUUUUUGAGGAAACAAGAACACAGGACACAGCCCAGCCCCUUUUCCAGGCCACAGUGCUGAGUGUUUAAUUCAGGCUCCUCAUGUCUGGUUGAAAUCCUAUGUAGCACAUACUUUCUGACCCAGAUGAGACAGAACCGUUGUCUUAAAUCAAAAUGAAACAG